CCUACGGGCGGCAGCAGUGGGGAAUAUUGCACAAUGGGGGAAACCCUGAUGCAGCGACGCCGCGUGAGUGAAGAAGUAAUUCGUUAUGUAAAGCUCUAUCAGCAGGGAAGAAAAUGACGGUACCUGAGUAAGAAGCCCCGGCUAACUACGUGCCAGCAGCCGCGGUCAUACGUAGGGGGCAAGCGUUAUCCGGAUUUACUGGGGGUAAAGGGAGCGUAGACGGCAGUGCAAGUCUGGAGUGAAAGGCGGGGGCUCAACCCCCGGACUGCUCUGGAUACUGUACGGCUGGAGUGCAGGAGAGGUAAGUGGAAUUCCUAGUGUAGCGGUGAAAUGCGUAGAUAUUAGGAGGAACACCAGUGGCGAAGGCGGCUUACUGGACUGUAACUGACGUUGAGGCUCGAAAGCGUGGGGAGCAAACAGGAUUAGAUACCCUGGUAGUC
RNAcentral lists this ribosomal RNA (440 nucleotides) under uncultured bacterium. RNAcentral describes it as "partial 16S ribosomal RNA". It matches the Rfam family "Bacterial small subunit ribosomal RNA", at positions 338 to 795 of the family's 1533-position model. The record is from RNAcentral.